This 254-nucleotide ribosomal RNA is filed under the name uncultured bacterium. RNAcentral's name for it is "partial 16S ribosomal RNA". It matches the Rfam family "Bacterial small subunit ribosomal RNA", at positions 524 to 776 of the family's 1533-position model. The record is from RNAcentral.
UACGGGGGGAGCAAGCGUUGUUCGGAUUUACUGGGCGUAAAGGGCGCGUAGGCGGUCAGCACAAGUCAGUUGUGAAAUCUCCGGGCUUAACUCGGAAAGGUCAACUGAUACUGUCGGACUAGAGUACAGAAGGGGCAACUGGAAUUCUCGGUGUAGCGGUGAAAUGCGUAGAUAUCGAGAGGAACACCUGCGGCGAAGGCGGGUUGCUGGGCUGAUACUGACGCUGAGGCGCGAAAGCCAGGGGAGCGAACGGG